CACGUAGGGUGCGAGCGUUGUCCGGAAUUAUUGGGCGUAAAGAGCUCGUAGGCGGUGUGUCGCGUCUGCCGUGAAAAUUCACAGCUUAACUGUGGACGUGCGGUGGAUACGGGCAGGCUUGAGUUCGGUAGGGGAGACUGGAAUUCCUGGUGUAGCGGUGAAAUGCGCAGAUAUCAGGAAGAACACCCGUGGCGAAGGCGGCUCUCUGGGACGGUACUGACGCUGAGACGCGAAAGCGUGGGGAGCGAACAGG
RNAcentral lists this ribosomal RNA (253 nucleotides) under uncultured bacterium. RNAcentral's name for it is "partial 16S ribosomal RNA". It matches the Rfam family "Bacterial small subunit ribosomal RNA", at positions 524 to 776 of the family's 1533-position model. The record is from RNAcentral.